Molecule: long non-coding RNA, 1948 nt
Organism: Neopelma chrysocephalum (saffron-crested tyrant-manakin)
Lineage: Eukaryota; Metazoa; Chordata; Aves; Passeriformes; Pipridae
Exons: 4
Source: RefSeq, a predicted model, not a curated record
GCCCUGGACACCAACCACUCCUCCUCCAUGUUCCAGGGCCUUGGGAAGCUGGUUGGGAAACUGCUCCAAGGAGGCUUUGGGACCUGUCAGAGCAGAGGGGAGAUGUGUCCAUGUGUGACCUUCUUGACAGACAUUUUGACCCCGGAACAGGCUGAUUUGGUGAAAGGAGAGGGUGCAGCCGACAGGGAGAGCUCUCACCACCCCCAGCGAGGCUGAGACUCGCUCUCGGGUUCCUCCCUUGAAGUUUGUCCCACUUUCUGGCCCAGUAAAUGUCUGAUUGUCAACAUCAACAGUGAGAACUGCACAGCCUGUUCAGCACAGCUGGGAUGCACAGCAGGUAGAAACCUGGAUAGCUCUGCUGUGAAAAACUGAAACUAUCACCAUUUCUACAGUCUUGGACAAUGUUUCACCUUGUGAGGGUGUAUUUGUUGGUGUCUACUUCUUUUUGUUUGAAAAAUUAUUUUUUUUUUGUUACUACUUAGAUAAAGGGAAUAUUUAGCAGAGCUGCUGUUUGGGAAUAGCCUUGAGAUGAAUGAGCAAGCAGUUCAGCUGUAGGUAACCAGGCAGCUGUUGCUGAUGGGAGAUGCACAUAUUGGGUUAUUUAGUGAUGCACACACAAACCCACUGAGACUGACUGAGUCUGACUUCCCAGUCCUGACAGGUAUUGCUUAUGCAGACUGUGAGAGUCUAGAAGCAAAAUGAGGUAUCUGUGGCCUGACCUUAUGUCCCGUAUUCUGUUAUGAAAGUCUGAAGAGAAACUGUCCCAUAUUCAGAACAGUUAAGGCUGAUGUGGUUUGAAGAUAUCUGCAUUUAUGGAAUGAGGCUAUAGGAGAGCAGAGGUUUUUUUGCCAGCAAAUCCCUCCCUCAGCCUUUGAUGGUGGUAAAGGUGAAGGUAGAAGGAGCUUGGCCUUUCAGAAGGGUGCAGGGCAGAUAUGUUUUGGAAACCUGCUGAAUUUCUGGUAAUUUAUUACUCAUCACAUCUCAUUCUUUAGGAGAUGAACAAUGAGAGGACACUGUGUGGGCUGCCUGGAUCCCAGCUCCUGAAGCAACACCAGGCCCUGACCCACAAGUGUUGCCUUCCUUGCUGAGACAACCCCCAACACCCCUCCUUCCUGCUGCACUGCCCUGAGAGAUUUUUUGCAUCAGGGAGGGCGUGAGCUCCACCUCGGGGGACACGAGCUCCGUGUCGGUGUGAGCUGCACCUGGAGGCACAAAUACCUGUCACCUCUCUGAAAUGGGGGGCACACAGGGGGCCCCACACCAGAAUUCCUGCUCUGCCACAGCAGGGAGGACGAGGAUAUUUUUGGGGGUGUUGUCCACUGGAGUAGGAGGGGAGGCUCCCUUGCACUGGAAUCCUGGUCCUAGGAGACAGCCUGGCAUCUUCUGAGAAGGGGCACAGAGAGCAUGGAAGGAAGAAAAACAGGCGGUUGCCAUGGCGAUGAGGGGCCGCUGCGAUUGGCUCAGCGCUGGUCACGUGGUGGGCGAUGCAUCAACGGGAACUACAAGUCCCAGCAUGCACCGCGCGGCGGCCCCGGCACGAGGGGACCGGGAAUGGGACUGGGAAUGGGACCGGGAUGAGAUGGGCAGUGGGUCCUGCUUCCCUCCCUUGCCUCCCUCUGCACAUUCUCUUCUUCAGCUCAUAGACAUCGGCCCGACCUGAGGCACCUCCCGCUGUGCAGCUCCUCCUGAUUCCCUCGCCUGUUGCUUUGGUCUGGCUUCUCUCACCUGGACACCUCUUGUUUUGCCUCACUGAUGCCCUGAACUCUGUCCAGAGCUUGCUGCCAUCCCGGGAGCCUACCCUGUGUGUCUCCCACCCCACCUGCUGCCACUGAGCCAGCUGAAGCCUAGCCGGUUUUACCCCCUUUUAUGGGGUGCUCAUAGAAUCACAGGACUGGUUUUGGAAGGGACCUCAAAGCUCACCUCAUUCCACCCCCGUACCGUGGGCAAG